RNAcentral lists this ribosomal RNA (545 nucleotides) under Babesia bigemina. Its description in RNAcentral is "SSU rRNA". It matches the Rfam family "Eukaryotic small subunit ribosomal RNA", at positions 500 to 1110 of the family's 1831-position model. The record is from RNAcentral. Lineage: Eukaryota; Apicomplexa; Aconoidasida; Piroplasmida; Babesiidae.
GUCUUGUAAUUGGAAUGAUGGUGAUGUACAACCUCACCAGAGUACCAAUUGGAGGGCAAGUCUGGUGCCAGCAGCCGCGGUAAUUCCAGCUCCAAUAGCGUAUAUUAAACUUGUUGCAGUUAAAAAGCUCGUAGUUGUAUUUCAGCCUCGCGUUUUUUCCCUCCUUUUGGGUCUUUUCGCUGGCUUUUUUUUUACUUUGAGAAAAUUAGAGUGUUUCAAGCAGACUUUUGUCUUGAAUACUUCAGCAUGGAAUAAUAGAGUAGGACCUUGGUUCUAUUUUGUUGGUUUUGAGCCUUGGUAAUGGUUAAUAGGAACGGUUGGGGGCAUUCGUAUUUAACUGUCAGAGGUGAAAUUCUUAGAUUUGUUAAAGACGAACCACUGCGAAAGCAUUUGCCAAGGACGUUUUCAUUAAUCAAGAACGAAAGUUAGGGGAUCGAAGACGAUCAGAUACCGUCGUAGUCCUAACCAUAAACUAUGCCGACUAGGGAUUGGAGGUCGUCAUUUUCCGACUCCUUCAGCACCUUGAGAGAAAUCAAAGUCUUUGG